Long non-coding RNA from Brassica rapa (field mustard), 2587 nucleotides. RefSeq lists it as uncharacterized. Lineage: Eukaryota; Viridiplantae; Streptophyta; Magnoliopsida; Brassicales; Brassicaceae. The record is from RefSeq and is a predicted model, not a curated record.
UUUUUGUGGAGUAAACAUGCAUUCGGUUUAAAGAUAUAUAGUCUGAUGGUUUCUAUCACUUGGAAUCUAAAAGUUGAACCAAACACAAUAUCACGUGAAUAACAAGGGUUUCUGCAAAGAAGACCUAACAUUAGGUGAAAAUUGAUUGACUAACUUAAACCGCGUUUUCGAUCUAUCGGUUCGUUAAUUUGAUAGAGAGUACGAGGAAACUUGUGCCUCAUACGAUGUCCAUUAAUGGUUUGUUUUAUACCUGCUGUAACUUACCCUUUUGUUUCCAUCUUUGCUGAAUUUGAAACUUGGAAGAUAUGUGUAUCUUAAAAUGCUUGUGUGGUUGGUUAACUCUUUCAAGGACGAAAGUGUAGUAAAUGAAGGAGCUCGCAUUUACAGAGCAACCGAGAGGUGUUGAAGACCAAGUGAAAGCACCGAUGCAUCGCGUAUUAGGGUUCUCACAUGGGUCCAUAUUGAUUUUUUUUUCUGAAAGCUGCUCAUUUUUUCACCUAAAGCUUAUAUGACGUGGCCGAAUAACUCUUUUUCAUUGGUCAUUUUUCGAUGACAUGGCGUGCAUAUUGGCCUUUUAUUAUUUAAGUUGAUUUUCUUAACUUGCAACGGUAAUAACUUUGUGAGAGCGAGAAAGAUAGCGAAUAAACUUUCUUUUACUUUAACCGGAGUAACACAUUCCCUUAUCCACCGUUGGUUUCGAAGUUCAUGAUCCAAGGGUUUAAAAUCCAAGCAUCCUCAAAAUUUUGAUCGUUAGGAAUUUUUUUUCUUUCUAUUCCCCUCUCCUCUCAUCUCCUUCCACUAAGACACGUUCUCUCUCUCUAUCGCUUUCUCCUUCUUCUUUUCUCAGAUGAUUCUCCACAGAAAAUAAUCAAAAAAGAAAAGACGUUUCAUAAAUAAUGGAAGGGAACGAUCAUGGCGACGAGACAAACUUAAGUUAGAGAUGAUCCCGUCCAUGUCAGGAACCGUUGCGCUCUUUGGGACAUCGGAAACCUCACUUCUCUUCCCCGAGUCGAAGGAGGAACGAUCAAUCCACCCUUGCCCCCCUUGACCCGUAACUUUCGUUCCAGGUUACAAGAAAACGCACAAAUUGCUGAUAAAAAAGCAAAUCAAUCUAGAAAAAAGCUUCCUUUUCUUGAUGGUCCUCUUGUACCCACGAGUUGCUGAUAAUUAUAAAGAUCAAUGUGGACCAAGCUUCGGUUCUUGAUGAUGCUCAUGUUGUACCCAAGAAAGGCGGUUCAAAACCUAUCGAAGUGCUUGUCCACCAGAGAACCCAGAUACGAUGGUGGUGGCGACCCGUUAAAGGAUAUGGAUUGGGAGAGAAGUUAACCGAGGGAAAGAGAUCGAGUUUUCAACAUUUGAGGAGCGCGUGGAUUCACUCUCCGCUACGAUUUCUCAAGGUUUAGCUUGCUGCAACGGGGCUAUACACACCACACAUGCUGAAGGGAACAAAUUUUGACCGAGUAUCACUUUUCAUGAAAUUAGGAAACCGAGGUGGCCGAAGCUAUAUUUUUACACAAGUAUAAACCGUUUAUACUUUUAAAACAUAGGAUUUUAGUCUACCCUUAUCCCAUACACCCCUAAUCUCUUAUGCCUCUUAAUCCCCAAUACCUCUAGUCCGACAUACCUAUAAUUUUAUAUACCGUUAAUCCCUAAUACCACUAAUGUGAUAUUAAGAGAUAUUUGAGAUUAAAAGGCAUUUGAGAUUAAAAGUGUAUUUGAGAUUAGGGAACAUUUGAAAUUAAAGGAGAUUUGAGAUUAAGACAUUUGAGAUUACGAUCAAAUAAUAGACAUUUGGGAUUAAAAGGGGUAUUUGAGAUUAGGGGUUAGUGGAAUUAAAGGGCAUUUAAGAUAAAGUUGAGAUUAUGGAUAUUUGAGAAUAAAUGGCAUUUGAGAUUAAGUUUAGAUAAGGGGUAUUUGAGAUUAAAGGGUAUUUGAAUUAAAGGGCAUCUAAAAUUAAAGGAGUAUUUGAGAUUAGGGACAUUUGAGAUUAAAUGAGUAUUUGAGAUUAGGGGCUUUUGAGAUUAAAGUGACAUUUGAGAUUAUGGGCAUUUGAGAUUAAAGGGGCAUUUGAGAUUAGGGGUAUUUUAGAUUAGAGAGGCAUUUGAGAUUAAGGGGAAUUUAAAAUUAAUUAGGGUUUAGGGUUUAGGGGCAUUUGAGAUUAAAGGGACAUUUGAAAUUAGGGGCAUUUUAGAUUAGAGGGGUAUUUGAGAUUAAUUAGGGUUUAGGUUCUAGGGUUUAGGGUUUAGGGGCAUUUGAGAUUAGGGUUUAAGGUUUAGGGGAAUUUGAGAUUAGGGUUUAGGGUUUAGGUAUUAGGGGUUAGGGUUUAGGGGUAUUUGAGAUUAAAGGGUAUUUGAGAAUAGGCGUAUUUGAGAUUAAAGGGGUAUUUGAGAAUAGGGGUAUUUGAUAAUAGGGGUAUUUCAGAUUAAAGGGUAUUUGAGAAUAGGGUAUUUGAGAAUAGGGGUAUUUGAGAAUAGGGGUAUUUGAGAUUAAAAGGGUUUAGGGUUUAGGGUUUAGGGUUUAGGGUUUAGGGUUUAGGGUUUAGGGUUUAGGGUUUAGGGUUUAGGGUUUAGGGUUUAGGGUUUAGGGU